Molecule: ribosomal RNA, 253 nt
Filed under: uncultured bacterium
Lineage: Bacteria
Description: partial 16S ribosomal RNA
Rfam family: Bacterial small subunit ribosomal RNA
Source: RNAcentral
UACGUAGGGUGCGAACGUUGUCCGGAAUUAUUGGGCGUAAAGGGCUCGUAGGCGGUUUGUCGCGUCGGGAGUGAAAACCUACAGCUUAACUGUGGGCUUGCUUUCGAUACGGGCAGACUAGAGGUAUGCAGGGGAGAACGGAAUUCCUGGUGUAGCGGUGAAAUGCGCAGAUAUCAGGAGGAACACCGGUGGCGAAGGCGGUUCUCUGGGCAUGAUCUGACGCUGAGGAGCGAAAGUGUGGGGAGCGAACAGG